AAGCGCCUUGGGAAGCAGUUGAGCGUCGACCUCCCAGCUUGCCGAUCGAGGGUUGUUUUCAUCAUUAUUAGAGCUUUAUAUGUGUUCUAUCGGUAUACCUUCAGCUACACGGUAAGCAUGAACAUAGUUGCACAUUAGAAACAAAGCUCCAUUCACAGUUUCAAUCUAUCUAAUCGCUGAAAACAAAAGACUUUUCAAUUUAAUCAUUUUCUUCAUUGCUGAAUUCCUUCGUCUCCUCAAGUGAGUGUUCACAGAUAUUCCUAUUGUGCUACUUUGUGAAAUUUGUUUUACAAAUGACUAAAUAGUUGUUGUAACUUUAAGGUUUGAGCGCUCAUUGUGCACGCUAGGUAUUGGAUGAAAUUCCUCUCCCACAUCAAAACUCUAUGGAUUCGUUUCGACUUUCAAUGAUAAAUUCUAAAUACGAAUCAAAGGGUAGUUUAUUGUAGAUUUCGUUGUAAGAAGAACGUGUUUGAUAAUUUGGUAGACUUCUUUUUCAUCUUGCUCUUCUCCUCUUUUUAGAAGUAUUCCUUUUUAUUGCAUUAAUUUACACCUGAAUCAAGUACUCUUACCAACAGUGAAGUUAUAAACCAUUUGAUUCUUCGAUAUCAACCGUUUGCAGCUAUAAUAGGCUCCGUCGGUAUAAUAUUCUUCAUAUAGUAUUCUACACUUUAUAGAUGAGACAUUUAUUAUACAAACAAGAACAAUAAAUAACGUCAUGCUUGAUUAUUUGUGAAGUUGUUUCCUAAGGAUGAAACUACCAAAUGGUUUGAAGAAGUGGUGCCACAGUAUCCUAAUUUGCUUUUGAUAUUGCCUUUAUUGACAAAAACUCAUUAUGAAAACGCUGAUGAUGGAAUUUUGAAAGGAGUUAAAACUGGUCUUUGCUUAUUGGAAUCACAAGAGCCUGGCAUUAUCUUUCUUAGUCAGGUAGUAGUACUUUAGAAUUUUGUUUUUUCAAAAACACCCCUUUACUUUACUUUCCUCUGUUUCUAGUGUUCUAAUCAUCCCACAAAAAAAAUGUAAGGUUAAGAUUAGGAGAAGAAUUUAUUUUUUUUUUACGUUGAUUAGUUUUUUUCUAUUUUAUAUAAUUUACAACUAUGUGCAUAAUCCUAUAACUACAUGUUUAUCAAUUACUUAAUGCAGUUGGUAAAAACUCAUGUUCCUAGCCUACCAUCAUUAUCGGUCUGUUUUGGCCCUGAAGUUUUGUUAUCGUCAUUUGCUACUUUAACUCAGUACACUAAGCAUGGAAGGACUAUUAAUGCCUACUAACACCAUCUUAUUUUCUUAUUUUUGCAUCCACAGAAAUGCCUUUAUUGAGAUUAUAAGAAGUCCUUUACCUUCACAAUAUACGGGAUGGAGAGCUAUACUCUGGAGGAUUAUUCCCCACUCAAUCAUUAAGCUAUGUUUUGAUUUCAGCGAUCUAUUUUUGUGAGUUUUUUUAAGAGAAAUGUAGUGCAAAAGGUUCAUUGUGAUAAAUUUUAUUUCAUCAUAGUUUGAUUCAUUCUUUUAAACUUCUAUUACUCUUUCACUUUACAUUAUUAUUCUCUAUUUCUUAGAAGUACUAUUUUCACUGGUAUUUCUAUACACAUGAAAGACUAAAGGAGUUGCGGUUGUCAUCAGUUUAAUUAUGGAACCAAAAUGACAUACUAAUAACAAUUAGUUUUCUUGAUAUUGAGUACUCCUUUGUCCACCCUUCAUCUUUGUCAUUAUCAGGCUCGUGAUAGAUAUUUUUCUGACACUUACAUUUUCUCUUCUACUCUUGUUUAUGCAAUAAUUAUUAAGUUUAUCGUUGUUGUCAUUUAAGUUAAUAUUUUGAUGUGAUGUAGCCUUAAUAUUCUUGGUUUUAUUGUUUACUCUUCAUUCUAGCUUGCCUGUGGAGGAUUAGCUGGAUCUACUGGCUUCUGAAAUCUUAUCAUAAUUCAUGUAGUUAAACAACAAUGUCCCUUAGGAUCAAGCACGUCAAUUCCAGAUUAGUUGAUGAAAUAAUUAAACACAAAUUAUAAUUAUGUAUCUCAUACUUAAACAUUUCCCAGAUGGAUAAACUAAUCUCUAAUUUAUUUAAAAGCUCCUAAUGAAAUAGUUUCUAAUCUUAGGUAGUCAAUAUUGUUUAAUUCUCUGAUGCUGAAAACUCUCUUCUUUGCUUGGCAGUAAACCUAAAAUAAUUCACUUGAUGUCAUUUAUAUUCUUGCAAAAUUUGAAUGAAUAGGCUAAAGAUAAGCUCGAGAAGUUUAUGGUGGUUGACAAUGAGUCGAGAAAAAGGAAAAGGUUUAUAAAAUCAUAUUUUAUCUACAAUUUCCCUUCUUUAUGAUGUAUCAAUCUUGGCUCUUUACUUUCAGAAUAUAAUGUUUCUUCAUUUUAGAUGCAUUUAUACACUUCUAUCCAUUUAUUGAUAUGUUCAUUUAAAUCAUUUUGUAACAUAAUUUAUUAGGGGAGAAAAUAAGGGCAUUAGUGAUUUGAGAAAUGGCCAUAUUUUCAUUCUCUUGUAGAUAUCAGUUCACAUGGAAUUCCUAUAUAACAAGUGUAACAAUAUUUUAUUUGAAAAACUGGAAGAUGGUUUGCUAAUGUAGAUUUUGAGAGACACCAACUAUUAAACAAAAUAUUAUAAAUACAAGACAGCCAAUCAGAAAUGUCAUGGAAUCUCUCGCUGUUCGGGGUUUUCAUGAAAGUUUUUUCUCAUUGAUUUUGUAUCAGUUUUAUAUGGAAUUCAUGUUUGAGAAUCAAUACAAGUUACUUGCUCGGUCAGGAAAUAGAGUACAAAAGGUAAAAUUUCAAUGUCGACCUUGUUUUGCAAUAAUGUAACAUCACGACUCUAUCUAUCAGUUCUCUUUAUAUAAAAGAAGGGUAAAUUUGCAGUUUUGAAAGCUAUUCAUGAAAUCAUGACUAAAAUAUUUAAUUUUCUUGUUCAUAUCAAUUGAGUAUUUAAUUGAAGCUUUUAUGAUAACUGAAAGUGUAAAAUGCAUGAUGUGUUGUAGUCUUAACAAACUUAUUGGAUAAAUUAUCAUCUUUCCAUAUGAAUGAAAUUUCUAUAAUUUAACACAGAGGGUUUGACUUAAUGGUCAAUGAAGAUUGAGAACCAUGUGUCCUCAGCCUCUUAGGUUCAUAUGCCAAACAACAACCCCUUAAACUUACCUGUGAGUCUUAUUUAGAUACUUAAAACUACUGUAUUUCCUAAUGAACACCUAAUAAAGUGAUUUUGUUUGAGACUUCUGUUGAAAUUUUGAAAAGUUUUUGUGCAUACUCUCAAGCGCCUAUUACGUAUAAAAAUUUAAGGAGUUGUUGAUGUAUUCAUUCUCAGUACUAAGUACCAUUUAACCAAAGAUGUAUAUGCAUAGGUAAGUUUUUUUUAUGCCAAUAUUCAUUGCUGCUAUCUGAACAUUGUUUUGUGCAGGUAAUGACUAGUCUUUCUGUGGAGGCAACAAAUAGAUUGUAAGGCAUUGAAAGCGAAAUAGAAGAGGUUCAAAUUAGUAGCUACAACAACAGAAGUGGAGAAAAGAAAUGACUUAACAAUGUCCCAUUCUGAACAAAAAUGGUAUCGCUUUAGUAUUUAGACCGGGAUAUCCCUGAGUUAGGAGCUUGUUUCCUGACUAGGAAGUUUUUUGUGUUCAUACAUCAAUGUAAUAUUAUCGCUAAAUAUGCCAAGUAAUUAUUCUAGGAAGAGCUUGAUAAGCAAGUUUCAAUAAAUGCUUUGUGUGUUAACAUAUGAAAUUCAUCUAUAUGUAUCUUUAACCCAAAAUGUUGGGCCUUUUCUUGCACGGGCCUCUACCAUCUAGUAUUUUUAGAAGAAAGAUCAC
Molecule: long non-coding RNA, 3788 nt
Filed under: Capsicum annuum
Lineage: Eukaryota; Viridiplantae; Streptophyta; Magnoliopsida; Solanales; Solanaceae
Description: long non-coding RNA (CANN_LNC020260)
Source: RNAcentral